This 178-nucleotide unclassified non-coding RNA is filed under the name soil metagenome. RNAcentral describes it as "partial internal transcribed spacer 1". The record is from RNAcentral.
CCGAGUCUUCGCACUCAAAUAACCCUUCUGUGGACCUAAAUAAAACCGUUGCCUCGGCGGGCGGCCCCCACCUGUGGGCCGGACAGCCCGGUCGCCUCCAGGCGCCGGCGCCAGCCGCUGGCCCAAAAUAAAAACUCUAGUAACCUUUACCUUCUGAGUUUUAACGCAAAUAAAGUCA